This 254-nucleotide ribosomal RNA is filed under the name uncultured bacterium. RNAcentral's name for it is "partial 16S ribosomal RNA". It matches the Rfam family "Bacterial small subunit ribosomal RNA", at positions 524 to 776 of the family's 1533-position model. The record is from RNAcentral.
UACGUAGGUGGCAAGCGUUUGUCCGGAAUUAUUGGGCGUAAAGCGCGCGCAGGCGGUCCUUUAAGUCUGAUGUGAAAGCCCACGGCUCAACCGUGGAGGGUCAUUGGAAACUGGGGGACUUGAGUGCAGAAGAGGAAAGCGGAAUUCCACGUGUAGCGGUGAAAUGCGUAGAGAUGUGGAGGAACACCAGUGGCGAAGGCGGCUUUCUGGUCUGUAACUGACGCUGAGGCGCGAAAGCGUGGGGAGCAAACAGG